UAAGCGUGCGCAGGCGGUUUUGUAAGACUGUCGUGAAAUCCCCGGGCUCAACCUGGGAAUGGCGAUGGUGACUGCAAGGCUAGAGUUUGGCAGAGGGGGGUAGAAUUCCACGUGUAGCAGUGAAAUGCGUAGAUAUGUGGAGGAACACCGAUGGCGAAGGCAGCCCCCUGGGUCAAAACUGACGCUCAUGCACGAAAGCGUGGGGAGCAAACAGGAUUAGAUACCCCUGU
Molecule: ribosomal RNA, 230 nt
Filed under: uncultured bacterium
Lineage: Bacteria
Description: partial 16S ribosomal RNA
Rfam family: Bacterial small subunit ribosomal RNA
Source: RNAcentral